AUGGGCGGAAGCCUGAACCAGCCAAGUAGCGUGCAGGAUGACGGCCCUAUGGGUUGUAAACUGCUUUUAUGCGGGGAUAAAGGAGCCCACGUGUGGGCUUUUGCAGGUACCGCAUGAAUAAGGACCGGCUAAUUCCGUGCCAGCAGCCGCGGUAAUACGGAAGGUCCGGGCGUUAUCCGGAUUUAUUGGGUUUAAAGGGAGCGUAGGCCGCCCCUUAAGCGUGUUGUGAAAUGCGGGUGCUCAACAUCCGACUUGCAGCGCGAACUGGGGGGCUUGAGUGCGCCGAAAGUAGGCGGAAUUCGUGGUGUAGCGGUGAAAUGCUUAGAUAUCACGAAGAACUCCGAUUGCGAAGGCAGCUUACUGUAGUGCAACUGACGCUGAUGCUCGAAAGCGUGGGUAUCGAACAGGAUUAGAUACCCUGGUAGUCCACGCGGUAAACGAUGGAUGCUCGUUGUCGGCCCUUGCGGUCGGUGACCAAGCGAAAGCGUUAAGCAUCCCACCUGGGGAGUACGCCGGCAACGGUGAAACUCAAAGGAAUUGACGGGGGCCCGCACAAGCGGAGGAACAUGUGGUUUAAUUCGAUGAUACGCGAGGAACCUUACCCGGGCUUGAACUGCGGCGGAACGAUUCCGAGAGGAUGAGGCCCUUCGGGGGCUGCCGCGGAGGUGCUGCAUGGGUUGUCGUCAGCUCGUGCCGUGAGGUGUCGGCUUAAGUGCCAUAACGAG
RNAcentral lists this ribosomal RNA (725 nucleotides) under Prevotella sp. oral taxon 317. Its description in RNAcentral is "bacterial SSU rRNA". It matches the Rfam family "Bacterial small subunit ribosomal RNA", at positions 371 to 1096 of the family's 1533-position model. The record is from RNAcentral. Lineage: Bacteria; Pseudomonadati; Bacteroidota; Bacteroidia; Bacteroidales; Prevotellaceae.